CAGAGCAAGCGCAGGAGCUGCUGCCUCGCACAGGAGCAAGUUACCGCGUUCAGCUCGCCUGCCGUAACUCGCUGCUGUGAGAGGCAGCGGCUCCUGGCUCUCCCUGCUCC
MicroRNA precursor from Gallus gallus (chicken), 110 nucleotides. Ensembl annotates it as gga-mir-1451. The record is from Ensembl. NCBI's taxonomy places the organism in Eukaryota, Metazoa, Chordata, Aves, Galliformes, Phasianidae.